CCCACAGGUCCCGAGAGUUGACCUCCAGCUUUUCAUCCUAACAAGCGGGAACUAUGGAUAUAAUCCUGGCUUGGCUACCUACUGACUGCGUGACCCUGAGCAAGUCACUUAACCUCUCUGAGCCUCGAAUUCUUCUUAUGUAGAAUAUGAAUCAACAAAAUCUGUUUCACAGGGUUAGGCAAGAGUCUCCCAACAUCCGGCGCGGCGCGUACUAGGUGUUCUCAAAGGCAGCAGAUACAGAAGUGAAGGAGUGUGGGUGAAUCCCUGCACACGGAGACUUCCACUCUAAGCUUUAGCAGCCUGGCAGGCCGGUGGCCUCAGGAACCAAGAACAAGAAACAGAGGAGAGUCUUUUUCAGAAAGCUGUCCAGUCCCCACUUCACAGUUGUCUCUACCAGAAUGCCAACCAGAUUAUGGAGAAAACAAAAGAAAAGUCUCACUCUGGAUUCUGGGCCUUCGGGAUUUAAAUGACCACAGAUGAUAAGUCAUUCUGUUACCGGAGAGCAGGCCCUUCUCGGCGCGGUGUCCAGGUUCUUGGCAUCUCAAGCAAAGAAAUGAGCAAGACACAGUAAUACAGUUGUGAAAGCAGUUUAUUAGAAGCGAAAGUGCACUCCAAAGAGGGGGAGCGGGCCUGAGCAGAAAGGAUUGGCUCAAGGGCCCCUGAGUAAUGAGGCCAUGGUGGUUUUUGUCGCUUUUCUUUCUACAAUGGGCUACUCCUUCCUAAUUGUGGGCUGCUUGAUUGAUAUCUGUGAUUGACAAUGGCUAAUGGUUAUGGUAAACAAGGGCAAGUUUGGGCAGGGAAGGGAGGUCUUCGGGGCAGUUAUUUCCCAUAGACUAUGUUGGACGUACAGGAAUGUUACCUGAUAUACCCAGGCAUCUCAGAGACCCAAUUCCUGCCUCUAACUGCCUGCCUUAUGUCCCUCUUGAGAGACAUGAUCCCCAUAAAUCUCUAUGGGAAGUUGAGGGACAGGAGAUCUUUUCUGUAUCUGCUUCCUGCUCAGUCUGGCUGUUGUCCCUACCUAUUGGGGAUUCAUGGGACUUUCACCCUAUCUGAUCUUAGAUGAGGGGAAGGGGUCUUGAGAUCCACCUGGAGGACCAAGUCGACCUCUGUGGUCAGGAUGUACUGGAAGUCUUGGUGGGGCAUCACUUUUAUCCCCAUGACCCAUAGCUGAGGAGAGAUAGAUUUCAAUUAAUAGAGUUAAAAGUGUUGUCCCAAGAAGCAGGACUCAAAACCAUUGACACAGGGCAAUUGUGUGAUGAAAAAAAUUGUUCAGCCUCAUGGAGCCUGGCCUUUCUUCUGGUUUAACCAGUCAUUCAGUUAUUGUUCACCCAGGAGCUGGGCCUGGAAAGAACGCUGUGCUACAAUGACUAUAGUCAACAAGCAUAAAUCAGAAGCUUUAGAGUAAUUAUUUAAAACAGGGAUAGGAGAUUUCUAUCAUUCAGAUUAAAAACAAUCUAUUGUGUAUGAUUAAGAAACUGAUUUGAAAAAUGAUUAUAACCAGGGGCUAUGGAGCUAAAACACUAGGGAAAAGGAGACUUCGAGUUUUAAUGGUGAGAAGCCAUUUCAUUUGGCCUGAUAUCAAUUCCCUGUAUUUUUCUAGAAUUUUCCAUAGUUGAAAUAAUAAUGUAUGUGUUAUCCUGCUUUUCUCCCCCAUUUAGUGUAUAUUGUAAGUAUUUCCUAUAUACAUUUAACAAAUUAUUCAUUCAUUUUAGCCCUUAUUAGAUGCAAGGCAAACAUUUUUAGGCAAGUUAUUAGUGGUUUAUUGCAUCAUUUGUCCACAAUCCAAGAGACGGUUUAGUUUGGUGGCUAAGAGAACUGACUCUGAAGUUAAGCUGCCUUAGUUUAA
Hipposideros armiger (great roundleaf bat) is the source of this 1846-nucleotide long non-coding RNA. RefSeq lists it as uncharacterized. The record is from RefSeq and is a predicted model, not a curated record. NCBI's taxonomy places the organism in Eukaryota, Metazoa, Chordata, Mammalia, Chiroptera, Hipposideridae. The transcript is spliced from 3 exons.